Molecule: long non-coding RNA, 539 nt
Filed under: Cricetulus griseus (Chinese hamster)
Lineage: Eukaryota; Metazoa; Chordata; Mammalia; Rodentia; Cricetidae
Description: lncRNA (ENSCGRG00015042224.1)
Source: RNAcentral
CAGAUCAUGUGAGAAAGUCAGAAGACAACUGUCUGGAGCUGGUCAGUGGUUUCCUUCAUUUGGUUCCUGGAGAUGGAACUCAAGUUGCCAGGCUUGGCAGCCAAUGCCUUUGCCUGCUAGCCUACAAAAAAAAAAAAAGAAAGAAAAAAAAAUUCUUCAAAAGAUGUGGUAAUAACCUAAAUUCCUCUUCCCUAGACAUCUCCUUGUUUCAUAUUCUGCCUUCCUUUUUAGGUCCCUCUGGAUGUGUUGCCUUCUCUACACAAUGCUUCACAUGAGUUGGAGAAGAAUAUUCUGUGGCCAUCGCUUUCGUGACUUUGGACCAGCAUGCUGGUGGCAUCUGUCUGCCCCCUUCUAAGGUGAAAACUGGACAGAGAAGACAAAACAUGAUCAGGGUCAGAAGACAUACUUUCCCAGUGAUUGCCUAUCUGUACUAGGUGCUCAGGGAUAUUUACAGGAAGAUACAUUCAGCACAUCAUAGCAAUGGAAGCUGCUGGCAGGCUCUGCAAACCUGACCUCCACUAGAAGACCUGUUCUCUGUU